AUUCCUACGGGAGGCAGCAGGGGGGAAUAUUGCACAAUGGGCGCAAGCCUGAUGCAGCCAUGCCGCGUGUGUGAAGAAGGCCUUCGGGUUGUAAAGCACUUUCAGCGGGGAGGAUGGGUCACUAGCUAAUACCUAGUGACAUUGACGUUACUCGCAGAAGAAGCACCGGCUAACUCCGUGCCAGCAGCCGCGGUAAUU
RNAcentral lists this ribosomal RNA (198 nucleotides) under uncultured bacterium. RNAcentral describes it as "partial 16S ribosomal RNA". It matches the Rfam family "Bacterial small subunit ribosomal RNA", at positions 335 to 525 of the family's 1533-position model. The record is from RNAcentral.